ACAGCAACAAACGACAACCACUAAGGCUGAAAUAAUUUUUCUCGUAUCAAUUACUAGUAACAUCAAUAAAAAGUAUAUUUUUAUAUUUUUGAUAAAAAUUAUUUCACAUCAAUCAAAAUAAAUUGUUCAUUUACACAAAUUGUAGGCAACAAAAAAGUAUGUAGAGUUGUCAAUGGAAAAUGCAAACCGAAAUCUGCUGACUGUAGUGCCCUUGGAUCUGGAUUUGAAACUUAUUCACCAGGGAACUGCUGUGGCAAGAGAAAGUGUUGUGCACCAUGUGACGCUGCAUGUACACACGAAUAUGGCGGGAAUUGUGUACUUGAGAGCGAAUGCAAUAUGAUUAAAAACAGCAGUCUGUGUACAUCAUGUGAUGACUUAAUAUGCUGCAUACCGUCUCCUGUGUCGACAGCUCAGUGGAAUGGAAUUUACACACUGUCUGGUGAUAAUAUAGCAUUUGAAAUGACUCUUACGUUCGAUGGAGGUAAAAUAACAGGACAAGGUACCGAGGACAAUGGAGAUUUUACAAUCGAUGGUACAUUCAAUGCAAAUACUAUGCAUAUUGAGAUUACAAAGCGCUUCACAAACAUGGGUACGGAUGCUGGAUAUUUUGGAUCUUUGUCUGCUGAUGGACAGACAAUAUCAGGCAGAUGGCAAAACGGACAUGUAAACGGAGUUUUUGAACUAAAUCGUGCGCAAUGAUUUAAAAGACAA
Molecule: long non-coding RNA, 711 nt
Organism: Mytilus californianus (California mussel)
Lineage: Eukaryota; Metazoa; Mollusca; Bivalvia; Mytilida; Mytilidae
Exons: 3
Source: RefSeq, a predicted model, not a curated record